Molecule: long non-coding RNA, 1123 nt
Organism: Selaginella moellendorffii
Lineage: Eukaryota; Viridiplantae; Streptophyta; Lycopodiopsida; Selaginellales; Selaginellaceae
Exons: 2
Source: RefSeq, a predicted model, not a curated record
AGGAGGAAGAGCAGCUGCGGAAGGAAAAACAGCAGCUGCGGAAGAAAAAAUUACAGCUGCGGAAGAAUGAACUCCUCCUCCUCCAAUGUAAUGUGCGCGGGUAAGCAAUUGGGAAAGCCCUUCGUUUCCUUUCACAUGCAUCCCCAUUUUCUGUCCAGUUCUUGGUAUUCCAUUUGUCCAGUUCUGGAUGCUACUUUAAUGCUGUCUGUCUAGUAAUAGUUGGGUGUCUUCUCUUUGGGAUGACUGGUAUGUUUUUCGGCCUGACACUAGAGUUUGCUCAGUUCUGCUCACAAGUCUGUGCAUUCCUCCCCCUUGUUUGCUUUUCAUAUGUUUACUUGGUCAUUCCGCGAUGCCUUUUCUUUCAAAUUUCGUCGCUGCUAAUCUGGUAGCCCUCUCUGUCGAGUACCCCUUCGCCUCUCAGAUCUGUGUUGCGAAAUCCCUGACCAUAACCACACAUGGAAGAGAUGACUAACCGAGUUCUCCUCUCCCGCAGCAGCCUCUCUUUCACCCGGAGCAGCAGCAACUCUUAAUCCCGGAGCGGCUGCUUUGCUUUCCCUGUCUGGUCAUGGUUAAGGAUUUUUGCUUCCUGAAUCUGUUUCUUUCUUUCUGUGUGGAUAUCUGGUAAUCUCGGUCAUUCUCACCCCUGUUUGCCCUUUGGCUGUGUUUAAUUCUGUGGCCAUUCCUCCAUAAACUUCGUUGUGCCUCUCACAGCACCAGCGCCACCACCAGCGGGACUUCGUCCAGCCGAGAUUGACGUGCCUGGUAUGAAUGAUGUCUAGGGGACUGAAAGCCGUAAUUUUUUGUGUCAGACAAGAUCGCCUGGGCCAAGAAGCUGAACGAGAAUCUGACCGGACACUGACUGGACAAGCCAUGCGACUUUUCGGGAGCUCCAUACUCCCGCUUUCUCUGGAAUGGAGUAAAACAUACAUGUACAUGGGUCGCUCACUCUUACGGAGAUAAAAAGUUUCGUAUUGACCUUGAGACACGGCACUGACAACCUUCCUGGAACUCUGGGCUCUGGGAAGACCACUGCUCUUGCUACUGUGGCUGGAUAUCUUCUGCAACUUUGGAAGAACACCUCCAAGAAGGUCGUCUUUAUCAAUGACGAAUGUUUCAUUGACAA